GCCAGUGGCGAUAGCAUGUUAAAUGCACCAGUUCCCGAUGGGUAACUGAAAUUAAGCAACUUUGCACGUAGUUAGUAUCCGGACGGGUGAUCAUCUGGGCAAUCACAUGCUUCUGGAU
Molecule: ribosomal RNA, 118 nt
Filed under: Diaphorina citri (Asian citrus psyllid)
Lineage: Eukaryota; Metazoa; Arthropoda; Insecta; Hemiptera; Psyllidae
Source: RNAcentral